UACGGAGGAUGCGAACGUUAUCCGGAUUUAUUGGGUUUAAAGGGUGCGCAGGCGGGAGAUUAAGUCGGCGGUGAAAUUUUGCAGCUCAACUGUAAAAGUGCCUUCGAAACUGGUUUCCUUGAGUGUGGAUGAAGUAGGCGGAAUUUGUGGUGUAGCGGUGAAAUGCAUAGAUAUCACGAGGAACUCCGAUUGCGCAGGCAGCUUACUAAACCAUAACUGACGCUCAGGCACGAAGGCGUGGGGAUCAAACAGGAUUAGAUACCCGGGUAGU
This 271-nucleotide ribosomal RNA is filed under the name uncultured prokaryote. RNAcentral describes it as "partial 16S ribosomal RNA". It matches the Rfam family "Bacterial small subunit ribosomal RNA", at positions 524 to 794 of the family's 1533-position model. The record is from RNAcentral.